GCCCCUUAGUGCUGCAGCUAACGCAUUAAGCACUCCGCCUGGGGAGUACGACCGCAAGGUUGAAACUCAAAGGAAUUGACGGGGGCCCGCACAAGCGGUGGAGCAUGUGGUUUAAUUCGAAGCAACGCGAAGAACCUUACCAGGUCUUGACAUCCUUUGACCACUCUGGAGACAGAGCUUUCCCUUCGGGGACAAAGUGACAGGUGGUGCAUGGUUGUCGUCAGCUCGUGUCGUGAGAUGUUGGGUUAAGUCCCGCAACGAGCGCAACCCUUGAUUUUAGUUGCCAGCAUUUAGUUGGGCACUCUAAAGUGACUGCCGGUGCAAGCCGGAGGAAGGUGGGGAUGACGUCAAAUCAUCAUGCCCCUUAUGACCUGGGCUACACACGUGCUACAAUGGAUAGUACAAAGGGUCGCGAAGCCGCGAGGUGGAGCUAAUCCCAUAAAACUAUUCUCAGUUCGGAUUGUAGGCUGCAACUCGCCUACAUGAAGCCGGAAUCGCUAGUAAUCGUGGAUCAGCAUGCCACGGUGAAUACGUUCCCGGGCCUUGUACACACCGCCCGUCACACCACGAGAGUUUGUAACACCCGAAGUCGGUAGGGUAACCUUUAUGGAGCCAGCCGCCGAAGGUGGGACAGAUAAUUGGGGUGAAGUCGUAACAAGGUAGCCGUAUCGGAAGGUGCGGCUGGAUCACCUCCUUUCUAAGGAA
Molecule: ribosomal RNA, 705 nt
Filed under: Listeria monocytogenes
Lineage: Bacteria; Bacillati; Bacillota; Bacilli; Caryophanales; Listeriaceae
Description: bacterial SSU rRNA
Rfam family: Bacterial small subunit ribosomal RNA
Source: RNAcentral